This 301-nucleotide ribosomal RNA is filed under the name uncultured bacterium. RNAcentral describes it as "partial 16S ribosomal RNA". It matches the Rfam family "Bacterial small subunit ribosomal RNA", at positions 509 to 809 of the family's 1533-position model. The record is from RNAcentral.
CAGCCGCCACGGGAAUACGUAGGGCGCAAGCGUUAUCCGGAAUUAUUGGGCGUAAAGAGCUCGUAGGCGGUUUGUCGCGUCUGCCGUGAAAGUCCGGGGCUCAACCCCGGAUCUGCGGUGGGUACGGGCAGACUAGAGUGAUGUAGGGGAGACUGGAAUUCCUGGUGUAGCGGUGAAAUGCGCAGAUACCAGGAGGAACACCGAUGGCGAAGGCAGGUCUCUGGGCAUUAACUGACGCUGAGGAGUGAAAGCAUGGGGAGCGAACAGGAUUAGAUACCCGCGUAGUCCCUGUCUCCUUAUA